RNAcentral lists this ribosomal RNA (247 nucleotides) under uncultured bacterium. RNAcentral's name for it is "partial 16S ribosomal RNA". It matches the Rfam family "Bacterial small subunit ribosomal RNA", at positions 57 to 305 of the family's 1533-position model. The record is from RNAcentral.
GCAAGUCGAACGGCAGCAUUACGUAGUUUACUAUGUAGAUGGCGAGUGGCGGACGGGUGAGUAACGCAUAGGAAUCUGUCUUGAAGAGGGGGAUAGCCCGAGGAAACUCGGAUUAAAACCGCAUACAACUUUAUGAAGGAAAAGUGGCGCAAGCUGCUGCUUUAAGAUGAGCCUAUGUUAGAUUAGCUAGUUGGUGGGGUAAAGGCUUACCAAGGCGACGAUCUAUAGCUGUUCUGAGAGGAAGAUC